This 812-nucleotide ribosomal RNA is filed under the name uncultured bacterium. RNAcentral's name for it is "bacterial SSU rRNA". It matches the Rfam family "Bacterial small subunit ribosomal RNA", at positions 54 to 844 of the family's 1533-position model. The record is from RNAcentral.
CAUGCAGUCGAGCGGCAGCGACACAUUGACCCUUCGGGGGAUUUGUUGGGCGGCGAGCGGCGGACGGGUGAGUAAUGCCUGGGAACAUGCCUUAGUGUGGGGGAUAACCAUUGGAAACGAUGGCUAAUACCGCAUAAUCUCUACGGAGCAAAGAGGGGGACCUUCGGGCCUCUCGCGCUAAGAUUGGCCCAGGUGGGAUUAGCUAGUAGGUGGGGUAACGGCUCACCUAGGCGACGAUCCCUAGCUGGUCUGAGAGGAUGAUCAGCCACACUGGAACUGAGACACGGUCCAGACUCCUACGGGAGGCAGCAGUGGGGAAUAUUGCACAAUGGGGGAAACCCUGAUGCAGCCAUGCCGCGUGUGUGAAGAAGGCCUUCGGGUUGUAAAGCACUUUCAGCAGUGAGGAAGGCGGUAUCGUUAACAGCGGUAUUGUUUGACGUUAGCUGCAGAAGAAGCACCGGCUAACUCCGUGCCAGCAGCCGCGGUAAUACGGAGGGUGCGAGCGUUAAUCGGAAUUACUGGGCGUAAAGCGCAUGCAGGCGGCUUGUUAAGCCAGAUGUGAAAGCCCGGGGCUCAACCUCGGAAUCGCAUUUGGAACUGGUAGGCUAGAGUCUUGUAGAGGGGGGUAGAAUUUCAGGUGUAGCGGUGAAAUGCGUAAGAUCUGAAGGAAUACCGGUGGGCGAAGGCGGCCCCUGGACAAAGAACUGACGCCUCAGAAUGCUAAGCGGUGGGGGAAGCAAACAGAUGAUACCCUGUUAGUCCACGGCGUAAACGAUGUUCUCACUUGGGAGGGUUGGUGGUUCUUGAACACU